Selaginella moellendorffii is the source of this 530-nucleotide long non-coding RNA. RefSeq lists it as uncharacterized. The record is from RefSeq and is a predicted model, not a curated record. NCBI's taxonomy places the organism in Eukaryota, Viridiplantae, Streptophyta, Lycopodiopsida, Selaginellales, Selaginellaceae. The transcript has 2 exons.
AGAGAUGGGGUGUUCUUCCUGGCGCAAACACGGGGUCUUGGCGGUGGCCAUCCUUGGCGCCGCAACGGCAAUGGCGGCAGCAACAUUCUUCCUCGGCCGGUCCCUGACAGAUGCGGCGAAGUCGCUGUCGGAUUCUGCGAGCUCCAUGAAGGAAUCGCUCGAUUCCUCUGCGAAAUCCUUCAAGGAAUCGUUCGAUUCUGCUGUGGCGUCGUUCGACCGCGGAGUGGCUUCUUUGGAUCGCGGCAUCGACACAAUCGGCGCGUUCAAGGUGCUCAAGAAUGGGUGCACAGUCUCCUUAAAUCCAGUCGGCUUGGUUCCGAGGGAAGAUUAAUCUCGGCGAUCGGAUGAUCCAAAGCGCAGGAAAGCAGCGAGCUGGCAGCGAAGCGCGAUCGGUUUUCUUCUUUUUCUUUCCUUCUUUCUUUCGCUUCCUUCCUUUGACUGACACGUUUUGAGCGAGCAAUUGUAUAGAUUUUGCGAGCGGUUGUAUAGAUUUUGCGAAGGACAAUGUAACAAUUCUUUCGGACGCUCUA